This 955-nucleotide long non-coding RNA is filed under the name Androctonus crassicauda. Lineage: Eukaryota; Metazoa; Arthropoda; Arachnida; Scorpiones; Buthidae. The record is from RNAcentral.
GCUAUUUAUAGGGGGUCUAGGUCGUUUUUUUAAAGAGUUUAUUCGACUUACAUCGCGAGUUUUGGAACGAAUUAACGACGUAAGGUGAGGUAUGACUCUAUUAUUUUAUUACGACGAAAAUUAUAAAUGAUAUAGACUAUUAUAAAAAUUAUUAUAAUUUUCGUUUAAUUGUCUAACAAAUAAAAAUAUCAUGAAAGUUAAUGGUACGGUUACGUUAUUAUAACGAAAAACUUAAUCAUUCGGAAACAAUAAUUUAAGAAUUCCAUUAUGAAUUUUUUUUUUUGUCAUUAUUAAUAUAUUUCGUUGAUCAUAAAUUUAACAUUAUUCUUAACUACAUUUUGCAUAAGUAGAUUUUAUCUAAGAAACUGAAUUUUUCUCUUUUCACCUUCCGGAGCCAAAGCAUCUGUCACCACUUUUCCUGCUCGAUUCUGUUUCUAAUUUAAUUAAUUCGGAAACGUCUGAUCGAAUCGCUUGGUUUUUGCCAAUAUGGAAAUAAGAUUGUGUGAGGUUUUUAUCCACUCGAAUGCAGUCUUUUGUCGGAGAAAAGCGCACUGCAUCGACGUGACGUCAUUUAGCUUAUUCAGCAGAAAUGCAAAACGAACUUCUAUUGUUAUGAUGAACUUGACAACUGUUUUGAGACCAGUAAGUCGGGGUUGCCCUACUUAUAUUCGGCACGACGGCACGGAUGUUGCUAUCAAUUAUCAUAAACAGGUUAAUAGAUGCAGUUAUAAAGAAUUUUAAAGCUUGCACAAGAAAAAAUAGCUUCGGUAGACUUUUCGAUUAUCCGGAAUCGAAUUAUCCGAGUUGCGGAUUUAUCGGGGUCAAUCCGCAACCCGGAAGCGCUGUUUAAUUAUCUUAAAUGAGUUAUCUGAAAGAUUUUUAAGCGUCCCAGAUUCGUUUCUUUAUUAUAUCUUAGAUAAUUUUGCUAUCAAAAUUAUAAUUACAGAUAUUGCAA